Molecule: long non-coding RNA, 1380 nt
Organism: Centruroides sculpturatus (bark scorpion)
Lineage: Eukaryota; Metazoa; Arthropoda; Arachnida; Scorpiones; Buthidae
Exons: 3
Source: RefSeq, a predicted model, not a curated record
AUUACGUACCGUGCAUUCGAAGUGUGUAGGAGCGGAUUUAUUGGCAAGCGGCCAUUCGGGGGGGGUCCUACUACUAAAAUUACUUCAUAAAGGUCAUAUAGUGUGUACGAUAACUUCAAACUAGCUAGAAGGGCUCGUUUACUGCCCCUAAAUCUAUAAAUCCGCCCCUAAAAGUGAGUGUGCAUGGGCAUACAGUACAUACAUAAAAUGCGCUGUGUUAAAUGCCUCGUCAAUAUAAGAGGUUAUUAGGACAUCAUCAAUACAAGAAUUAUAAUGUUAAUGUUGUGGAAACAGUAAGAGAUGCAAUGAAAAUUGGAACACUAUCAGAGAUAAAAACAAUAUUCUGAGAUGCUUUUUCAUCUAUGAUACGUAGCCCCUUGUACUGUACCUAUCACUUUGCGUAAUAAAUUCAUUAAAAUACAUUGAAGUUGUAGGAAGGAGAGUCGUUCCAUCUAUGACAAAACUGUGGUCGAAUAGGAAUUAUGAAUGGAUUUUUCAACAAUAUCUUGUGCUAUGCCAUGAAUCUAAAAAGGUUGUGACAUCUUUUAAAUAUGAUUUCAUGAGGAAGAAGUGAAACAAAAAUGUUACCAAAUUGUUAAAGCCAAGGGAGUUCAUGCAGUAUUUCAUAUUAUAUUUACUAUUAACUUUUGUAAACAUAUAUUUCUAUAAAUCUUGUUGUUACUUGACAUUUUCAGAUCAAUUUGCACGCUACUGUAGUAGAAGCGACAUAUAACCUGGUGUAAUGUCUACAUUCUGUGUAUUGUCAAAAUAUACAUUUUUAUUAUUGAGUAAUCUCUAAAGGCAAAGAAACUGGUUAAGAAGUAUAGAGUCUGAUUUUUGAACGUAGUGGUUCCUAAAAAUUUGUGUGAAAGUCGAACUACAGAUUACAUUUCGGCAAAAAUUUCAAGUCAUUUUCUUACAAAUUCAUCUUUAGCCGGAAUCGUACGCUUAGAACAAAUUUAUCAAAAAUUACCAAUAAUACCACUCGAUGUUAUACUGUACUUCUUAUUCAUAAAAAUGCCUGUUUCUUGAUUUAAAGAAUUUGCCAAAGAUUGUAUAAAACAAUUAUAAAAUAUCGAAUCCGAAGAUGUAAUAUUAUCAUCCUUCAAUUAAUUCACUACGAAGAUUAAACUAGUUGAAGAAUUGUAGUCCAGCUUCACAAUAAAAUCGGCCAAAAGGAAUGAGGAAUAAAAAACGACAUCCUGAUCCAAAAUACAAUAAAAAUUUAUGAGAAUUCAGAUCAAAUUCAAACCAGAAUCUCUCAUUCUGUUGUUAAUAACUAUCGUAUUUUUAGAAGUAACUAUCGAUAAAGAGUCCUAUUAAAUAUAUUGAGAGUAUAAAAUAAUAUAAUUAAUUUUAUAAUCUUUUAAUCAAGUUUAA